RNAcentral lists this unclassified non-coding RNA (395 nucleotides) under Hevea brasiliensis (rubber tree). The record is from RNAcentral. Lineage: Eukaryota; Viridiplantae; Streptophyta; Magnoliopsida; Malpighiales; Euphorbiaceae.
GUUUUCUUCCAUGGAGGUUGUAGAAUUAAAGGCACGGUUGCACUGCAAGGCCUGUGAGAAAGCAGUACGCAAAGCCUUAUGUAAGAUCAAAGGAGUGAGAUGCGUGCAGAUAGACAGCAAAUCAAACAAGAUCACAGUAUUGGGUUACAUGGAGACUAAAGUCAUAAUCAAAGCCAUAAGGAAGACAGGCCAGAGAGCAGAGGCUUUGCCUUCUUCUCAUCCCUAUGAGGCACCUAGUCCUAGGUUGCCUACUGGUUUUAGAUGCAUUAUUCCUAGAUGUGGUCUUUAGAUUGGGAUUUUUUUAAAAUUAUUAUUGCAGAUAUUUUAAGGGAUAAUAUAUUAUCAUAUAAGUGUUUUGUUGCUAUGAAUGUAAAUGCAUUGAGCCACUUGUGAAU